Molecule: non-coding RNA, 99 nt
Organism: Acanthosepion pharaonis
Lineage: Eukaryota; Metazoa; Mollusca; Cephalopoda; Sepiida; Sepiidae
Source: the annotation of a GenBank genome assembly
UGGUAACAUCGGUUCCCGUACGAUGAUAGAAGUUAAGCAACGUCGAGCCUGGUCAGUACCUAGAUGGGUGAUCGCUUGUGAAUACCAGGUGCUGUAAGC